GGGGAGCGCCGUGCCGGGAUGCCGGGAUGCCGCCCCACGUGUGGGUGCGGGAGCCGCCGGGAGCCCGUCCUGCCGCGUGGGAUGAGCUUCCCGGGGGCGUGGAGCGCUCGUCUGACGGCUCCGGGGGGGAACGGCACCGUCUCUUCGCCCUGAUCACCCGGUGCUGCCUCGCGGCCGGAUGCUGCACACAGCGCUGCUCCCGGGCUGCACCCAGCGCUGCUCCCGGGCUGCACCCCGCUGUGCUCUCGGAGGGGAGGCGCGGCGCCCCGGGUGCUCAAUGAGCACAAAGUGCUCCCCGUCUGACCGCCGCUCGGUGCGGGCCGUGCCACGAUGCUUUGCAGACGGUUCUCCCUCCGUCCAUCCCGGUCUCUGCAUCCUGAGCUCUCUCCUCCGGUUCCUCUCUCAGCACCACCUGUGGGGGGACCCUGGGGUCACGUUGCUGGGAAAGACCGGCACAGAUUAGAUGUGAGUGUCGAGGAGGUGAGGUGCUUCACCAGCUCUCGAGCUCUGGAGACUUGUUUCCCGGUUUUCUGGUGGUAGUUUACACCCACCCCUGGAGCUGGUUUCCUGCUGACCUUCCAGAUCCAUCUGUGCUGAUGAGAACCCAAGAUUCCUCAUCAGAGGUGGAUCCUCCCAGCACCCCAUCCUGGGGUGAAUGGUGAUUCUGACCAUCUCCUGCCUCAUGCAGGCGGUUAUACCCCACAGGGGCCCAUCUGCUCCUCAAACUUUCUUCUGGAAGAUACCACCAUCCAACCUGCAAAGAACCCAUCUGCACGGCUGCCCUUCUGCAGGAUGGUGGGGAUGAGGAGCUGCUUCCAUUCCCCUUUGGGAAGGACAUUUACCCCCCUCAGGAGAGGACUCCGGAGGGGAUGACGUCCCCUUUGCCAGGUCCUGCAGGAUUUGCCCAGUUUCCUGGGGAAGCUGCUGCUCUGCGCUGUCUGCUUGGCAGUGAGACCAGCGACCAGUCCAGUCUCAGACUGUGCUUUGGGUUGUCAGUUGUGCCCUUCUUGCAGAAUGACUUCAAAGUACGACGUGCCCGGAGGAGUCGUGAACCUUCUGAAAAGAACCAGUUUCUUGGUGCUGCCUCAGUAGCAAUCAACACCCAACUGUUCACCACAGGGACACUGCCGUGAGGAACUAGGUCUUUCCAAGCAGGAUUCCUGCCCUUCAGCACUAGGGAAGGAAUUCCCAGCCUGGCCUCACUCCUUGGGCACGAUGAGGGUGAGACUUCAGUGCUGUCAGCCUCAGAGCUGGAUCCAAGUGUGUCCUCCACGUGCUCUCUUAGAGCUGCUCCUGCUUCAGUUCAAUUAGAAUGUCUGCUGCUCAUUCAUCAUGAUACCGUAUCUGGUUUCCUGCCCCAUUCUGCUGUGGAUAAGGUUGUUGUUUCCUCUUGGUCUGCACACAUGUGACUCUAGGUGUUCACCAUCUGCCUAGUCUGGCACAGCACAGACACUCCAAUUAGCUGUGCAUUUUUGCCAGUGAUGAAUGAGGACUUGUGUGUGCCGCACUCAUAACAAUAUGCACCAGUGGAAGUGCCUCACUGCCACCAUGUUCACUGCUGAAAUGCCACCCACCCUUCACUGUGCUCACAUCCACCGUCAUCUCCAUAAAUGUUCACGAGUGUUGAUGAAUGUUCAUGGGUGCUGUUGUUUCUGCAUGACACACUUCUGCUUCAUAUGGACUUCCAUGCCUGAUGCCAUCUUAUCAGGAUGCCCUUCUGCUGCCAUCUGUCACACAGCAAAAGAAUGUCACAGAAUAUGAGUGGGAAGGCUCACCCUCUACUGCCAUACCAUCAACUUCCACCUCUGAUACUGUGGGCCAAUGUAAUAAGAUAGGAGACAUUAGUUUUGGAGCAGUCCUCAUCUAGAAUCACAGUGUGCUUGAGGCUGGAAGGGACCUUAAAAAUCAUGCAGUUCCAACCUCCUGCCAUAGUCUGGUUGCCCCACAGCAGAUCAAGUUGCCCAGGGCCCCAUCCAACCUGGCCUUGAUUCAGAGCUUCGAGUGUCCUAACAUGGAUGGCGUUUGAACUGCUGACAUUCUGAGAAGGUCCCCAGGGCUUUCUUUAUCCUUUUCUUUUAUUUUCCUUUCUUCUUUUCUUCCUCCCUCACCCCCCAGUUCACUCUUACUAAAGGUAAAUUGCUGAGCUAGCAAUGUUUAGCAAUCUUCCUGAUUAAUCAAAAUUAGUUUAUUUGAAAUGUCUGCAAAUGCAACUAGUCAGAAGGGAAUUUAAUUGUGAAUAUUCUUCGCGGUUGUUGUUUGUAAAUCAUUACAACUGCUCUGCUUCCUUCCUAUCUUUGGAAACACUGAAGUCAUGAUUUUACAAGUUCUGCUCUGUCCUGGCCGCUCAUUCCUGUUUUUGUGGUGGCUUCUCUCCCUUCCACUGCUUUGCUGUAGGCACCUGUGGCACCUGUCUAUGAGGCUAAGACUGGCCCUCAGCCUGAGCACUGUUCUGUCACAGAAUUCCUCUGUCACAUCCAUCUUGUGAAGAAAUUCUUGUAAUCUGAGUUAAAUACAGUUUGAAUGGCCCAGCUAAAACAACGGGGCAGCGUUCCUCAGUGUGCACAGCUCUUGACCUGAUCCCCGUUCCUGGGAUUUGCUCAGCAGUUUUUUUUAUCACAGCAGCUAAUUGAAGAGCAGCAGCUCUCAUACACCACCCGCUUUGCAGCUGUGCAUUUCUGUGCUUCUUAAAUAGUUGUUACACAAAAUGCUUUUGCAGUUUCAAUUCUGACACUGCAUUGCCAGGGUAUAAAGAAGAUCUGGUUUGUCUGAUUGACUGUAGGUGUCUGCACCUGAACUGCUCCCAAUGGGUUCCUUUUGCAGCGAGAGCUUGGCUCACCACUCUGUAAUAUAAAGAACAGAAUGGAUUGUACAGUGAUCACAGGAUUGUGGAAGGGCUGGGUUGGACGGGAUCAUUUAUUCCAACCCCUGCUGUGAGCUGGCUGUCCCCCACCCCCUCAGGUUGCCCAGGGCCCCAUCCAUGGCAUGGGCACCUCCAGGGCAGAGCCAGGGCCUCACCACCAACCUGAAGAGUUCUGAGCAACUUUGUGUAGGAGCAGUUGUACUAAUCAGCAUUUCUUUAUUUUGUCAUCAGUACAAACCAUGAGCAUCUCCUGUGACUUAUUUCUAAAUACUUAACAGAAAUGCUCAGUGUCAACAGCUACCUACAUUUUCAUGUCUAUUGAAUGAGAACUGAACCAUAAUCAUUGCUGGGACAUCUCUGUUACUGAACCGCUGUGUAAAACUCUUCUGUUGCUUUCAGCUUUGCAUUAUCUUUGGUCUUGAGUCAAUUACUUUAACUGAAAUCUAAUUAUAGCAGAGAUUGCAAUGUGAACACUGUCAGUGUCAUUUGUAUUAUUUAUUUACUCACCUCUGCUUUGAUUAUAUCAUUACUUUUCUCUCUAAAAGAAGAAUCUUUAAUGUUUUUGUUAUUAUUUAUUGUGGUUUUGUGUUUUUUUCUUUUAAUUUCCAGUAGGUGCUCCUGACUGAUGAGCUCCCCUGUAUUACUCUCAUUUUCCUUUUUAAAUGUGAGUGACUUGGGAGUGUUAUCAAUACUUACUAUGUAGCAUUUUCAGUUUGGAGCACUUUGCUCUUUAAAGAAAAGUACUGUGCAUAUUUUUGUGAUGGUUGCUCGUAUUUUUAGGAUAUAUGUGUGUAUGAAAGUCAUGUUACUUCAGGUCAGUGAAAGAGCAUAUGCACAUGUACCACUGUGUGAUAUUUGUGUCUAUGUUUAUCCUAUGGGAGGAGCAGGCAGUGUUCAGAAGGCUGUGCUGCCAUCAGCCGCACUGUGGGCCAGCAGCAUGCCCUCGCCGCCAGGAGAGCCAACUGCAUUUUGGGUUGUAUUGAACUCAGCACAGCCUUCUGUCCCGCUGGGUUUGGUGCAGGUGCUGCCACUCUUUGAGCACUGUGCAGCUUUGGGCUCUGCUCCUGAAAAAAGGAGGAAAAUCUCUGUGCUGUAAUGGUGCUCAGGCACCGGAGUGGGCUUCCUGGGGUGAUGGUCAGUGCCCCAUGCCUGUCAGUGCUCGGGAUGCAGAUGGGUGAUGCUUUCAGUGAUAUGCUGUAGCCUUUGGUUAGCCCUGAAGCACUCAGGGCUGGGUGAUCUCUGUAGGUCACUUCCAACAGAAAUAUUUGAAUUCACCUGGCGUGGGUGCAUCUUUCUCUUUAAAAGGCAUUUCCUUACCAUCAUCUCUUGAUAUCCGCUGCCCCACAAAGAGUUCCUUCACUUUGAACGCCAUUAAGUAGACACUUGCGAUCAUGUCACACAGACUUGGUGUGAGUUAAGGCUCCUGUAAUGCUGUGUGUUCAUUUUGAUAAGCACAGUUCAGCUGGCCAGGAAUAGAGAUGCCCAUCCCUUCAGGUUUUCUUUUCGUCUUUGUAGGGAAGGUAGAUAAUGCUAUCUCUGUUUUGAAAGCAGAGACACUUGGGUGCCCAGCAAGGAAGCAAUAGUGAAAGAUAAUCUAAAAUCCAGGACUUGUUGUUGUAAGGACAUAAAUGAGGCACUGUCAGCUUGGCACCAGCUCUUGUCUUCCUAGCGAGCUAUUUGUGGUUCCUGCUUCCUUUUUGAUUGUGGGCUGUUUUUUGUUUCUUUUUGUUUUCAGUUUAAAUCAGGUGAGGUUCAGAUAGCUGUGCCCAACAUGUCACAUUUCAUUCCAGCAUUACCUCAAAGUACCACCUUGUGACAACACACUGUACAGAUUGUUGUUACACUUCCACUUACUUUACCACCCACUUCUGGAUUUUAUCUUUCUGUGCAAAGCCAGUGACAGUGAUAAGAUUUUUUAGGUUUCACAGGCUCAGGUACUCAGGGGCUCAGAUCUCCCUUUGGGGAAAGCUGCUGUUGUGUGCACUCCCUGAAGACCUCACAGGGCUGCACAGUGCACAGGUGGGUGGUGUCUGUUUCUUGGCUGGUUCACACCCUUGCUUACAGACUGCAUCAGUUGAUCAGAAGCAGGGCUGUGCUGGCACUGAUGUUAUGGAGUAAUCUGAGUCCUUGGAUGCAGGUGGAAGUAUGUGGAAGGAUAUGUAAGAUGAUAGAAUUAGUGCAGUGGUGAAUACUGGGUAGGGUUGCAUUUUAACAGCCGAUGUGGACUCUUUAUAUAGUUGAUUUAUACAUUGGGUUCCUUUUAAUGCUCAAUUUUUAGUGGAGAAACAUGCAAGGAUCAUAGAGUGAGAAAUAAACAAGGACAAAUUUGUAUAGGUGCAAAUGGCCUUUAGGAGUGUGGUAAUAGAAGAAUGAAAACAGGGUCCAAGAAGGGUGCCGUUCUUGGGACAUGACCACAUUUUACAGUAAUACAGAUUCCAUUUCAAAUAGCUGUACUUUAAAAAGCCUUCUGGAGUAUGAAAGUGUUCAGAAGAGACAUGUGAAGAGAUUAAAGGUGUAGUUAAUGCUGUUUUGUAGUGGGUGGCCACGAGGACUCACUAUAUUUAGUUUACCCGAGAGAGAUAGAAGGGUUUUGUCCUUGUUUUGGAGAACUUCAGUGAGGAAAAUAGCCGUGUUGUUUUAUGAAGGCACGGGCUCUUGAUCUGAAAUGCGUAUCACAUAGCACUUAGCAUAAAUAGAUAAAUCUGCUCCUAUCCAACCCUUCCUCUGUACCUGUAAGGUCAGGAGGAUGACCUGGGGUCCCUGGUCCUUCACACCUGCCUCAGAAUUGUCUUGAUUUGUUGGGCUCCUGAGUCAAUGCAGCUGUUUGUGGAUGAGGGCAGGGUGGGUUCAAGGCCUGGACAAGCCUUAAUGCUCUCCUGAAACAUUCUGGAUCGGGAUCUGUCAACAACGAACCUCUGGUGACAGCAAAUCUCACAUGCAGGUAUUGCCUUGGUAACUGCAGGUGGGUCUGACAUGGUCUGACCUGCCUUUUUCUCAGGGUGUUAAUGCACGAUCCAGCCCGGGGGGCUCUAAGAUCUCCCUUGGAGCGUGGAGCUCGUUCCUCUGGACUGUUGUUAGCACUGAUUCUGUAAGUUCAGUUGUAAGGGAGAAAAAGCCCUUCUGCUGCCAAAGAUCCCACGUUUCAAGGAGAUUCCAUCCACUGCCUCUCUGAGCGUGGCCUCCAGAUGUUCUGCCUCCCCAUAUGGGAAGAGCUGGGCCCGCUGCUCCCACAUCACUUGUCGCUGCCCGAGCUGCCGAUUCUCAACUAGCAGACUACUGGGGAUGGAUUGUUUUCGCCUUCCCUUUUUCUCUUCCAUCCGAAAGAACGGGUAAAUGUUGUCUGAGGAGGGAAGGAUGUGGAUGUCGAUCCCGCUCCAGCCCGGUGGGCGCCGUGCCGGCCGCAGGGCCGCCCCCGCCCGGCCGUCCGCGCAGAGCUGCGGUGUCGUGCGGUCAGCGCUGCCGGCGGCCACACAGCGGCAGUCUGGGACCGUGAGCGCGGCCUGAGGCGGAGCUCGGAGACUGCGGGAGUCCGCGCCUCCCUCCGCCCAGCGCGGACAGCACGAGGCCUGUAGCGCCCACCGAGGCCUGUAGUGCUCACUGAGCCCUUUGGGUUUGGACCUUUCUUUUGAUUUUCUGUUCAAAAAUAGCGAAAGUGAGGGGAGACAGAGGAGAGAGACGCUGGUUUUGUCACCCAGCUGCUAAUAGCAGAUCUGUACUGAAGGAAGGAGUUGUGGGGAGGACAGACUCCGGGCACAUGGAGGUGUUCGGGUGGGCAAUGUCAUUGUAAAAGCUGAUAUCAAAGCUGAUUAUUUGGGAGACGCUGAAACAUUGUGUCUGAGUGCUUAAAGCAGGCGGAAAAUGAGAAUGGGGAGGAGGAUGGAUGUGGUUAACGGGGAGGGAGGUGCUUGUGUGAAACUGCUCGUGGUCUUUGGGAUGCUGCAGUGCUUUGGGGACUGUUCACCAGGCUCAGUGCUGUGCUGUGUCUCCUCGGCAACAGCAGAGGCACGAGUCUGUUCCCAUGGCAAUAUGCAGAGCGCUUUGCAGGGAAGGCUCUUUGCAGAGCUCAGCAGCGCGGGCUGUGGGCUCCUCUUUGAUUGUACCUGAAGCAAAGGCAGCCCACACGUCAGGUGUCUGAUCCUGGAGCCUCCCAGGAGUCAGCUGUGAAUAGUGGGGUGCUGCCCCUGGCCCCACCAUCUUUGCAGCCCUCCACUGAUCCUCCAAUCAGAUCUUCAGAAGGGCCAGAGUCUGCUCUCCUGAAGUCUAGGGUUGUGACCCUGUUUUCUGCACUGCUCCAUUCACUCAUGUUCCUGAUCACCUCCAUCUCCUGGUCACAGCCAAGGUUGCCCCUGACCUUCACACUGCUCCUCCCUGGCUGCCUGUGCCCUUCUGUGUUGUCCCUUCUUCAGAUACUGGGGUGGUAAAUGUGUCCUAUGAGAAUAAGGGCCUGUAAAUAUGAGGACUGUUCAGGUUGUUUGCCUCUGUGGCAGACUAUAAAACUACCUGUGCUCCUCAGCCUGCUAAUUCUGACCCAUACAGCUGAUGCACCAUUCACAGUCUCAGAAUGGCUGAGGUUGGAAGGGACCUCUGGAGGCCAUCUGCUCCCAGCUCCUGCUCAAGUACUUCACUCCUACCUGUUCUCUUCCAUGCUUUGUCUUUGGGUCCCAGCUGCAGUCAGGAUCCUCAUCAUUUUUAUGCUGGGAGUUUGCUACAGGAUUAGAAACUGCUAGAAACUAUUUUUAUUGCACACAGUCCAGCAGCUGCCAGACACAAUGGAGUCAUUUUCUGAAGGUAUUCUGGGCUCUGGUUUGAAGUAUCAGAGCUGUGUCCCACAAGCAUGCAAGAGGAUCCACAGAACUGGUGGACAGAUAAAUCAAGUUAACAUAUAAAGAGGGAAAUAGCAAAAAACAGAGCCUUUAAAAAGGCCAUAACAAGGAGGGGCUGUAGGCCUAUAGCUGAAGUUUCUGAAGAGGAUUUGUGAUUGAUGAAUUACAGCACUUGUUGGUGUUAAGUGACAUGAUAAGCACAUGGCAAAGCUGUCAUGGAGGGUGUGAGGUCAUCAAAUAUAUGAUGCAUAAAAACUGGAUUUUAGGAUUGGAUUGCAGUGGUGAGAUGUGCAAUGGCAGGAGUUGGACUUCAAUGUCCGUAGGAGGUGGAGAAACUGAAGGAAAAAAAAAAAAGCAUUAAAACAGUUGGAUAAGUGGAAGAGUUGUGACAAAUCAGAUGAAGCAACAAAGGAAGCAGUUACGUUAUAACCAAAUGAAGCUUUUCUAAAUGCCAAUGACUGGUUGUUUUUAUGCUUGCGUUCUUUCUCUUCCAAUAUCCCUCAUCCCUUAUUUCUUAUGAAGGAUUUGCGACGGACUUUCCAUUACAUCAGCUUUAUGCUAUGUUUUUAACUUUGUUUCAUACUUAGACUAGGUGAGUGUCAUACUCCAGAUUAAUGGCUGGGAUCUUCGCUACAGAAAUUUAAAGGAAUAUUUUUCUAUUUUUUGUAUCUUUGAGCUUACAACUUAAAACUGUAAAUCCCUUCCCCUGUACAACGUUAGCAGAUAUUUACUCCUUAGUAUUUGCUAUUGCUUUUACAAGCGGCCUUGCUGUGCAGUGUGUCCAGCUUGUCUGAAGUAUGUGAGCACUGGGGCGACUCUGAGGAAUGAAGCAUGCUUGCUUCCCAAGAGAGAGCAGGGCAGUCCAAAUUCCCCACAAGCACGUUGUUUCUAUGGUUUCAAGUUGCAGGCUGAGUAUAAAUUGGUCAGGAAACAGGUGCUGAUGAUGGGGUGUGCAGCAAAGGAACUUGGUAGCCAUUCAAAACAAGCACAGCAAGACAGCUGCUGUGCUGGGUCCGCUGCCCGUCAUGGAGACUGCUGCUCUCCCUUUGCACACUCUUGCUAUUUCCAUCUACUAACUUCAUUUGUAAACUGCAAAGGCCAGAGACCAUGCUGCUUUUAUCUGUACCACCAAGAAAUCUUGGGCCAGAGUCACAGCUGAUUACCAUGAGUGUGAAAACUGUGACAAUUAUGUGAUAUAACCUACAGCAGGUAGCUCUUCUCCUCGCAGUUCACAUAGAAACACCUCUAUCUGAGCCUUACCGGCUAAUUGUUAGCAAAAGCAAUGUAAAUUAUUCAUUUUGCAAAGCACUGCACACCAGAAGGAUUCCACUAAUGCUUCUUCUAACCCCAGCAUUUUUGAGGUCUACUACAACUAACUUGUGCCAUCAUUUAUGUUCCUCGUCCCCUUGGGAGCAUAGGCAGCGUGUUACUAUACGGCUUAGUGACCUCAUUGCCAAAUGGAGUUUGUUGCUGUGAGCUGCUGCCUGCCAACAUGUCGUGCCUAUUAUAAGGAGGGAAACCACUGCCUGGUGCUGCAGGCGGCAGUUUGCUGCUUUUGCAGCACUGGGUUGCUCAAAAAAAAAAAAAGGCUCAUCUGAAAGCACGUUGUCCAGCUACAGCCUGAGCACUGCAAUCGUGUCACUGUGCCAUGAGCAGCUGUGCCCGGCAUUUCUGUAUUCCUGACUUCAAGUGUAUUUAUAUACCAGGAGAACAGAAAGCUGGAAGGUUUAGAAAAUGUCCUACCUGCUGCUAUAGGCGUAUCGCAGCUCCUUCACUUCCACUGCUGUCUUGUGUUUUUCCAGCCAAAAUCUCCUAAUAUUUUAAUGGUCAUUUGGGUUUUUUUUUUUGUCUUUUGACCCAAAUGGCUGUGAAAGUUUCCCCAUGUCUCCUCCUACAUCUUUGAAGAUGGUAAAAAAAAUGAAAGAAAGAAAGAAAAAACCCAACAAAUAGACAAAAAGCUGCAUAGAACAGCCCAGAGCUGCUGGCAGCUCCUUGUCUUCCACCCAUCCUUAUCGUAUUUGUGACAUUUUGCUUAUAACCGUUCACCUAAGUUUUAUUUUGCUUGGACACUGUGCGCUGUAUGUUCACAGUCAGGAUUUCAGGCACAUUUCCCUGCAAUACAUUUAAGUUUCUUUUGCUGUUUUACCACUGGCUGCCGUUUCUGGAAGCCGUUGAUGUCUGCUGUGAUAAUGUCCUGUUCGAGAUUAGGAUUUACUUUUCUCAAGGGAAAUCUUUUCAUACUUUUGUGAUUAUUUUGCCAAAUAAAAUAAUUUAAAAAGUCA
Molecule: non-coding RNA, 9965 nt
Organism: Coturnix japonica (Japanese quail)
Lineage: Eukaryota; Metazoa; Chordata; Aves; Galliformes; Phasianidae
Source: RefSeq, a predicted model, not a curated record